UACAUGGGGUGCAAACGUUGCUCGGAAUUAUUGGGCGUAAAGCGCACGUAGGUGGUUUGUUAUGUCGGAUGUGAAAGCCCUCGGCUCAACUGAGGAAGUGCAUCCGAAACUGGCAAGCUAGAGUAUGUAAGAGGGUCGCGGAAUUCCCGGUGUAGAGGUGAAAUUCGUAGAUAUCGGGAGGAACACCGGUGGCGAAGGCGGCGACCUGGGACAAUACUGACGCUGAGGUGCGAAAGCGUGGGGAGCAAACAGG
RNAcentral lists this ribosomal RNA (253 nucleotides) under uncultured bacterium. RNAcentral's name for it is "partial 16S ribosomal RNA". It matches the Rfam family "Bacterial small subunit ribosomal RNA", at positions 524 to 776 of the family's 1533-position model. The record is from RNAcentral.